Molecule: transfer RNA, 121 nt
Organism: Puccinia sorghi
Lineage: Eukaryota; Fungi; Basidiomycota; Pucciniomycetes; Pucciniales; Pucciniaceae
Rfam family: tRNA
About the family: Transfer RNA (tRNA) molecules are approximately 80 nucleotides in length. Their secondary structure includes four short double-helical elements and three loops (D, anti-codon, and T loops). Further hydrogen bonds mediate the characteristic L-shaped molecular structure. tRNAs have two regions of fundamental functional importance: the anti-codon, which is responsible for specific mRNA codon recognition, and the 3' end, to which the tRNAs corresponding amino acid is attached (by aminoacyl-tRNA synthetases). tRNAs cope with the degeneracy of the genetic code in two manners: having more than one tRNA (with a specific anti-codon) for a particular amino acid; and 'wobble' base-pairing, i.e. permitting non-standard base-pairing at the 3rd anti-codon position.
Source: Rfam
GCCCGGCUAGCUCAGUUGGUAGAGCAUUCGACUCUUACUCAUGAGUCUUGACCCUGGUUUGGCCUUGAAGCCGCUCCGGAAGUCCAUCGAAUUGUCGUGGGUUCGAGCCCCACGUUGGGCG